This 312-nucleotide unclassified non-coding RNA is filed under the name uncultured fungus. Its description in RNAcentral is "partial contains small subunit ribosomal RNA, internal transcribed spacer 1, and 5.8S ribosomal RNA". The stretch from base 1 to 73 matches the Rfam family "Eukaryotic small subunit ribosomal RNA", at positions 1759 to 1831 of the family's 1831-position model. The record is from RNAcentral. Lineage: Eukaryota; Fungi.
GCAAACUUGGUCAUUUAGAGGAAGUAAAAGUCGUAACAAGGUUUCCGUAGGUGAACCUGCGGAAGGAUCAUUAUCGAAUCCUAAAGGAUGUUGCUGGCCUUUCGGGGCAUGUGCACUCCGCCUUAUUAUCCACCUGUGAACCUAUUGUAGGCCCGUAGAUGUAAAAAGUUUAUGGGUCUAUGUUUUCACUUACACGCUUUAUAAAAAAAACUAUCAGAAUGUCUUUACGAGUAGACCUUGAUUGGUCGAAAAUAAAAUAAUACAACUUUCAACAAUGGAUCUCUUGGCUCUCGCAUCGAUGAAGAACGCAGC